This 455-nucleotide ribosomal RNA is filed under the name Myrmeleon fasciatus group sp. 194-MypsSb1. RNAcentral describes it as "bacterial SSU rRNA". It matches the Rfam family "Eukaryotic small subunit ribosomal RNA", at positions 1024 to 1403 of the family's 1831-position model. Lineage: Eukaryota; Metazoa; Arthropoda; Insecta; Neuroptera; Myrmeleontidae. The record is from RNAcentral.
UUCUAACCUAAACGAUGCCAGCUAGCGAUCCGCCAAAGUUCCUCCGAUGACUUGGUGGGCAGCUUCCGGGAAACCAAAGCAUUUGGGUUCCGGGGGAAGUAUGGUUGCAAAGCUGAAACUUAAAGGAAUUGACGGAAGGGCACCACCAGGAGUGGAGCCUGCGGCUUAAUUUGACUCAACACGGGAAACCUCACCAGGCCCGGACACCGGAAGGAUUGACAGAUUGAGAGCUCUUUCUUGAUUCGGUGGGUGGUGGUGCAUGGCCGUUCUUAGUUGGUGGAGCGAUUUGUCUGGUUAAUUCCGAUAACGAACGAGACUCUAGCCUACUAAAUAGACGUACUUUAUUACCGGCAUCUCAAGGCCCAUCGGCUGUAUUGUUACUGAAUGUUAUUUGUAUAUUUUGUUGAUAUAUAUUUAUAAAUAUGUAUGAUUUGGUAAUAUAUAUUUUAUUAUAA